GAGGAAAGUCCCUCUGAGCUACUGCUGGGUUGAGGUUUUUUGCAAUUUGCUAAAAACAAGUGGAUCAGCAGUUCAGAUGAGAACUCCUUAAAUCCCUAACUCUUCUAGUAUUUAUUUUCCUUUAUUUAAGUGGAUUUUCCCUUUUCACUUGAAUAAGGAGAGGAAACUGCCUGGGAUAGAGCAAAAAGACUCUCCUGAGCUAAGGAUGUUUGUAUCCAGGGCAGUCAUGCCACUUCCUACUACGUGAGAAAGACCAUGACGACUUUGAAGGACGGCCACCUUCUCUGUUGCCAAAAUGAUGGCAUCUGCCAGAACAUUCAGGUUUCCAGCCUGUGAUGCUCCAGCAGAUUCAUACAAUAAGAGACACAGUUCUGGAGACAACUAAGAGGAAAUUUAGGGGAAAAUAUCCCCAACUAUCAGCAAAAGAUCUCUGAACCGCUUCAGAGAUAUAAACCAUGCAUUCCAGAAGCAACAGCACCGAAAGCCCAACCAGACCAAAGCUGAGCCAGUCACGGCCAAAAGAUCACCCUAAGGAAGAGGCUGGUUGCAGUGGGAGAGCAAAUGUGCAAAGGUGGCAGAAAGAGAAGGACGAGGGAGCCCAAGCCAGUACAAUCCUAAGAAGCCCUAAGGCAGAGAAAAAACAAAGAAGUUCUUUCAAGAAAAGGGAAGAUCUCUCUCGCGAUGACUUGCUAUUUCUUCUUAGUGUCCUAGAGGGUGAAUUACAGGCCCAAGAUGAAGUUAUAGGAGUACUUAAGGCUGAAAAAAUUGACUUGGCUUUGCUUGAAGCACAAUACGGCUUUGUUACUCCCAAGAAGGUGUUAGAGGCACUCCAGCGAGAUGCUAUUCAAACAAAGGCUGAGCAAUGGCAAGAAGAUAUCUAUGAAAAGCCUAUGGGAGAGCUUGAUAAAGUUGUAGAGAAACAGAAAGAAACUCACAGACGAAUGCUGGAUCAACUUGUAAUGGUAGAAAAAUCACACAGACAGACUCUGUAUGAACUAGAGGAGGAGAAGAGGAAGCACAGCAAAUACAUGGAAAAAAGCGAUGAGUUUACAAACUUGCUGGAACAAGAAUGUGAAAGAUUGAAAAAGCUUCUUGAACAAGAAACAGUAUAUCAAGCAAAAAAAGAGAAGGAAAACAACAAGAAAAUAGCUAAACUGAAAGAAGAAUUAACUAAACUGAAAUCCUUUGCUUUAAUGGUGGUGGAUGAACAGCAAAGACUCACUGAGCAGUUGAAUCAACAAAGUAAAAAAAUUCAAGAAUUAACCACUUCUACAGAGCAAGCACAUGAGAAACUGGCUUUUGCUGAAGCAAAAAUUCAAGAAGAGAAACAGAGAGCCAGCAGGCUGGAGGCUGAACUUCAAGCCCAAAGCAGUAAGAUUUCCCAAGACCAAGAAGCAAUGAUGGCCAAACUAACCAACGAAGACAGUCAGAAUCGCCAGCUCCGGUUGAAAUUAACUGCUCUCAGCAGACAAAUUGAUGAGCUGGAAGAGACCAACAAAUCUCUACGAAAAGCAGAAGAAGAACUGCAAGACCUAAGGGAUAAGAUAAAUAAGGGAGAGUGUGGCAAUGCCACACUUAUGACUGAAGUAGAAGAACUACGGAAACGACUGCUGGAGAUGGAAGGAAAAGAUGAAGAGCUCAUAAAAAUGGAAGAUCAGUGCAGAGAGCUUAAUAAAAAAUUAGAAAAAGAAGCAUCACAGAGCAAGAACCUCAAAGGGGAAGUCGAUAAACUUAACAAAAGAAUUAUGGAGCUGGAGAAACUAGAAGACGCUUUCAACAAGAGUAAACAGGAAUGUUACUCCCUGAAAUGCAAUCUAGAAAGGGAAAAAAUGUUAACAAAGCAGCUGUCCCACGAGCUGGAUGGUUUAAAAGCUAGAGUUGGUGAGCUUGAAGCAAUUGAAAGUAAGUUAGAAAAAACUGAGUUUACACUCAAAGAAGAUUUGACAAAGCUGAAAAGCCUAACAGUGAUGCUUGUGGAUGAAAGAAAAACGAUGGGAGAAAAAAUAAAGCAAACAGAAGAAAAGCUUCAAGCUGCAACUUCUCAGCUUCAGGUGGAACAAAAUAAAGUGAUGUCAGUUACAGAAAAACUAAUUGAGGAAAGUAAAAAGGCACUGAAAUCAAAAUCCGAUGCAGAGGAAAAAAUGUCCAGUGUGACAAAAGAAAGAGAUGAACUGAAAAACAAACUCAAAGCAGAAGAGGAGAAAGGAAGUGAUCUUGUUUCCAAAGUGAAUAUUCUAAGAAAAAGACUCCAAUCACUGGAAGACAUUGAAAAAGAGUUUCUUAAAAGUAAACUUAAGGAUGGUACUAAAUCUAGCACCUCCUUGCAGCAGGAAAACAACAUAAUCAAAGAGCUUUCUCAAGAAGUUGAGAGGCUUAAGCAGAAGCUCAAAGAAAUGAAGGCCAUAGAGGAUGACCUUAUGAAAACUGAAGAUGAAUUUGAGUGUCUAGAACGAAAAUAUGUCAAUGAACGGGACAGAGCCAAGCUCCUAUCAGAGGAGCUGGAAGCUGUGAAAAUGGAAAUGGCUAGGUAUAAAUUAACAGAAAAGGCAGAGUCCAAUCAGGAGCAGCGCCUUUUUAAGAAGCUUAAAGAAGAGGAAGCUAAAUCCAGUCAUCUUUCCAGAGAAGUUGAUGCACUGAAAGAAAAAAUGCAUGAGUACAUGGAAACAGAAGACCUAAUCUGCCACCUCCGAGGUGAUCAUUCAGUCUUACAGAGGAAACUUCUCCAGCAAGAAAACAAGAACAGGGACUUAGCGAGAGAGAUGGAAAGCCUCAGGAAAGAGUUGGAGAGGUACAGAUCCUUCAGCAAGAACUUCAGGUCUGGUCACAAUGGAAGGAGAAUUUCUGAUGUGCAAGUUUUUUCUAAAGAAAUCCAAACAGAUCCAGCAGACAAUGAACCACCCGAUUACAAAACGCUCAUGCCUUUAGAGCGAGUCAUAAAUGGGCAGCUCUAUGAAGACAGUGAUAAUGAGGACAAAGGCAAUAAUGAGGAGGAACAAACAGUGUCUUUCAAAAGCAACUCAUCCACUGUCAAUGCCAUAAACAAAAAAUUAUGGAUCCCGUGGAUGAAGUCCAAAGAGAGCCAUCCUCAAAAUGGAAAGAUACAUACAAAGCAAAAUGGAAACUGUGCACAGACUGGAGAUCUAGUGCUAAGCCAUACACCUGGCCAACCUCUUCACAUAAAAGUAACUCCAGACCAUGGACAGAACACAGCAACCCUUGAAAUAACUAGUCCUACCACUGAAAGCCCUCACUCCUACAAAAGCACAGCGGUUAUACCCAACUGUGGCACUCCAAAGCAAAGAAUAACCAUUAUUCAAAACGCCUCCUUAACACCUGUAAAAUCGAAAGCAGGAGAAGGUUACGUGACUCCAGAGCACGUAAUUUCUCCUAUUACUAUGACUACUUUUGCAAGAUCUCAAACGCCUGAAUCGUGUGGUUCUUUAACUCCUGAAAGAACAAUGUCCCCUUUGGCUCUACCCGGCUCAAGUUCUCAGGAACAAACUCUCUCCCCGGAGCCUUUGGAAAUGGGAGCCAAGCACGCUGUUUUUAGAGUAUCCCCAGACAGGCAGUCAUCAUGGCAGUUUCAGAGAUCUAACAGUACAGGAUCAAGUGUCAUAACUACUGAGGAUAACAAAAUCCACAUUCAUUUAGGAAGUCCUUACGUCCAAGCUCUCACCAAUUCCAAGCCCAUCAGCCCUUGUAGUCCAGUGCAAGACAACAGAACUCCAGCACUAGCCAAUGGCCUACCCACUAAGCCCACCAAUAAAAUCACCAGCAGUAUUACUAUCACACCAACAGCCACUCCUCUUCCACGGCAAUCACAAAUUACAAUCACCAACGCCUUCCGUCGGUCAGCUCCAACUCGGAUCCCCAAACCAAAGCCUACCAGCACAACCAAAGCACCUGCCAAAAUUCCUGCUGGGCACCUCAACAAACCACUCCAAGACAGCGCUGCUGGAAAGAUACACAUUAUAAGGACUGUGUCUAAAACCUGCCUUCAAAGUGGAGGGAAAAGAGUGCAUUCCAACAGUCUAAAUGGCUCAACAGAUAAUUCCUGGGAAAACUCCUUUCACAUAGGUGUUUCUUUAAGAACUGCCAAAUCCUAACUCCUACAUAAAGCAAAAGCUGGUGGUGAUCACAAUGCCAUAGCCAGAACUGCAGUCCUUUUCCUGAAGCAAGGAAAGAUUCUGAUGCAUUCAGUUACCUGACUUUGCCCUUUUAUUUCAAAUCUAAAAGUUUAACUUAACCACUGAGACAGUACAACACGUUAGCACUGCUGCGUGACCAUUUUUGCAAAUGUGUAAGAAACCUAUGCUUCCCUCAACAGCUUCACAAGUUCUCUAGAAGUACUUAAGAAAAGGAAAAGUUUAGAAAGAUCACUCUACUGAAAAAUUAUUUCAGCUUGUGUUGCACAAGACACACCUGUGUCAAAAUGAAGACAUUAAAAAAUUACUUUUUCAUAAUAAAAAGAAAAGGUUUCCAAUUUUAUUCAUUAAAUCUGCAGCUGUCAAGUUCAAGACUCCAUGUCAUGUAUGUCCAGAUCCAAAUAGAGCUCACAGAAGCACACCACUAAAUAUUCUGCAACUUGCAAAAUUGAGUGUAUAUAAAUGUGAAGAAACACAGAUUUCAAACAGCAGCUGUCAACUUGGCAUGCUUACCAGAGAGAUCUUCAAAUACAUGACCAAAUUCAAUCAUAAGGGACAGCAACUCAUUGAUGAGCCAGAAAAAAAAAAAAGAUGCAAACCUCUCCAUAUACAGGUGCACCAACAGAUCUCAGCUCCAGUCAAGCACCAGCGCUCGCUCCCACUGAAUGCACGACAAGGAACAGUCUGCUUCUCAGUAGCUGCAAAUCACACAUUACAAAUUGAUGCUACCUGGCACCCUUUAUAGCCAGUCUACAGAAAGAAAAGAGAACCUGUGGCAAAAGAAAUCAAUUCCCACAACAGCAUCCUUUGCUUUGGAGCCCACAGAACACUGCCAAAUCAUCCUCCAUGGCCCCAUAUUACAUUUCUCCCCUAUCUGUACUGCUGCCAUACAAGAGUUUCUGUCUUUUGCUCCUCUCUUGUGAUGACAUGGUUCAUUUCUACCUGUGAGGAACACGGCCCACAUAGACUCUUACUUAAGGAUCUAAAACUGACAAACAGGGAUACUACACUUCUACGGGAUUAAGGGCGGUAAAGAAAGCAUGGAGAACGAAAGAGAAGGAGUGGUAACACAAAAGGAGGAAACUGGAAGAAUUUCUGACAAAUAGAGGUACAUCCCUCUCCCUCAAAUUGCUUGAGAGAUGUGGCAUGCUGGCUACAGGCAAGACACAGACAUUUAUAGUGCUGUGAGAAGUGCUCUGUUCAUGGAGAGAAGAAGAAAAACUUGGUGUCCUUCACCAGUACAAAACAAACUCCUCAUUAUUCCCUAUCCUCUCCCUUAUAACUCUGAAUGCAAUAUAAAAAUCCUACUAAAGACUGGACAGAGUUGUGACAUGAUCUGGAAAAAGGGAGGUCGGAGGGGCCAGAGAUUAGACAUCAACCAGCCGCCGAGAUUUUGCUCUACAAGCAAACCCGCCAUCGGUAGCAAGCAGGGGAAAGCAGACACGGGAGAAACAGCGAGUGAGAGUGGAAAACUUGCAGAAGAGCCGUCCCGCUUAAAGUCUGGGCGUUACCUACUGGAGCACAUCCCGAGUCAAGCCGUGGAAGUGAAACGGAGGAGUGUAAGGACUGGAAUUUAUCAUAAGGCGGCACUGUUACUCCGUGUAUAAACCGCUCCAAUGGUUCUUCUGAACUUCCAUCGAGAAAUACUGAUUGGUUUUCCCCCUUGAGGGUGCAGGAUAAAGGAUCUUGCAGACGCUCUAGAAGAAGGAGGCUGUGAUCUUGAAACUGUGAGAAACAUCAUUCAAGGAAGGCAAUUACCUGCUGAUCUGAGGGCCAAAGUCUGGAAG
Molecule: RNA transcript, 5932 nt
Organism: Manacus vitellinus (golden-collared manakin)
Lineage: Eukaryota; Metazoa; Chordata; Aves; Passeriformes; Pipridae
Gene: FILIP1L
Gene name: filamin A interacting protein 1 like
Exons: 12
Source: RefSeq, a predicted model, not a curated record